AACGGCCGUACCAUGCUGAAUAUACCGGUUCUCGUUAGAUCACCGAAGUCAAGCAUCAUUGGGCGUGGUCAGUACUCGGGUGGGUGACCACCUGGGAACACCGCGUGCCGCUG
Molecule: non-coding RNA, 113 nt
Organism: Caerostris darwini
Lineage: Eukaryota; Metazoa; Arthropoda; Arachnida; Araneae; Araneidae
Source: the annotation of a GenBank genome assembly